UAAAGACUCUCGGCAACGGAUAUCUCGGCUCUUGCAUCGAUGAAGAACGUAGCGAAAUGCGAUACUUGGUGUGAAUUGCAGAAUCCCGUGAACCAUCGAGUCUUUGAACGCAAGUUGCGCCCGAAGCCAUUAGGCCGAGGGCACGCCUGCCUGGGUGUUGCAC
RNAcentral lists this ribosomal RNA (163 nucleotides) under Lupinus albus (white lupine). RNAcentral's name for it is "5.8S ribosomal RNA". It matches the Rfam family "5.8S ribosomal RNA". Rfam says of the family: 5.8S ribosomal RNA (5.8S rRNA) is a component of the large subunit of the eukaryotic ribosome. It is transcribed by RNA polymerase I as part of the 45S precursor that also contains 18S and 28S rRNA. Lineage: Eukaryota; Viridiplantae; Streptophyta; Magnoliopsida; Fabales; Fabaceae. The record is from RNAcentral. RNAcentral also lists the same sequence under 18 other names.